This 331-nucleotide long non-coding RNA is filed under the name Helianthus annuus (common sunflower). RNAcentral describes it as "sRNA HanXRQr2_Chr09g0365161". Lineage: Eukaryota; Viridiplantae; Streptophyta; Magnoliopsida; Asterales; Asteraceae. The record is from RNAcentral.
GUUAUCGUAAAUGGUGUAUUAGUUAUUUACCUAGUUUCGUGUGCAUUAUUGUUAUCAGUCUUAUCAGUAGACUAAACUUCACCCCAUACACUUACAAUCAAAGUAGAUGCUAAUUCUCAGAAGAAAUUGAAUCAAGAAGCUUGUUAAAUCAAUACUGCAUGCUUAUAAUGUAAUUACAGUAGAUUGGAGUAAGAAUUGGAUACGGCACCAAAAGACUUACAGAAGUGGCUUAUUUUAUCAAUUAAACUAAAUCAAGAAACGUUGUUCAUGCUGAAGCUACCUUUGUAAAACAUGGGUUUUAUCCCAUCUAUUUAAUAAAUAAAAUCGUUGU